RNAcentral lists this ribosomal RNA (1167 nucleotides) under Staphylococcus aureus. RNAcentral's name for it is "bacterial SSU rRNA". It matches the Rfam family "Bacterial small subunit ribosomal RNA", at positions 83 to 1236 of the family's 1533-position model. Lineage: Bacteria; Bacillati; Bacillota; Bacilli; Caryophanales; Staphylococcaceae. The record is from RNAcentral.
UUUCUGAUGUUAGCGGCGGACGGGUGAGUAACACGUGGAUAACCUACCUAUAAGACUGGGAUAACUUCGGGAAACCGGAGCUAAUACCGGAUAAUAUUUUGAACCGCAUGGUUCAAAAGUGAAAGACGGUCUUGCUGUCACUUAUAGAUGGAUCCGCGCUGCAUUAGCUAGUUGGUAAGGUAACGGCUUACCAAGGCAACGAUGCAUAGCCGACCUGAGAGGGUGAUCGGCCACACUGGAACUGAGACACGGUCCAGACUCCUACGGGAGGCAGCAGUAGGGAAUCUUCCGCAAUGGGCGAAAGCCUGACGGAGCAACGCCGCGUGAGUGAUGAAGGUCUUCGGAUCGUAAAACUCUGUUAUUAGGGAAGAACAUAUGUGUAAGUAACUGUGCACAUCUUGACGGUACCUAAUCAGAAAGCCACGGCUAACUACGUGCCAGCAGCCGCGGUAAUACGUAGGUGGCAAGCGUUAUCCGGAAUUAUUGGGCGUAAAGCGCGCGUAGGCGGUUUUUUAAGUCUGAUGUGAAAGCCCACGGCUCAACCGUGGAGGGUCAUUGGAAACUGGAAAACUUGAGUGCAGAAGAGGAAAGUGGAAUUCCAUGUGUAGCGGUGAAAUGCGCAGAGAUAUGGAGGAACACCAGUGGCGAAGGCGACUUUCUGGUCUGUAACUGACGCUGAUGUGCGAAAGCGUGGGGAUCAAACAGGAUUAGAUACCCUGGUAGUCCACGCCGUAAACGAUGAGUGCUAAGUGUUAGGGGGUUUCCGCCCCUUAGUGCUGCAGCUAACGCAUUAAGCACUCCGCCUGGGGAGUACGACCGCAAGGUUGAAACUCAAAGGAAUUGACGGGGACCCGCACAAGCGGUGGAGCAUGUGGUUUAAUUCGAAGCAACGCGAAGAACCUUACCAAAUCUUGACAUCCUUUGACAACUCUAGAGAUAGAGCCUUCCCCUUCGGGGGACAAAGUGACAGGUGGUGCAUGGUUGUCGUCAGCUCGUGUCGUGAGAUGUUGGGUUAAGUCCCGCAACGAGCGCAACCCUUAAGCUUAGUUGCCAUCAUUAAGUUGGGCACUCUAAGUUGACUGCCGGUGACAAACCGGAGGAAGGUGGGGAUGACGUCAAAUCAUCAUGCCCCUUAUGAUUUGGGCUACACACGUGCUACAAUGGACA